CACUUUUUACCUGGUUAAUAUUGGCGAAGGUGCAAAUAAGUAAAAGGGAGAUUGUUAGGAGGUGGUAUAAGGGGUUUACUAGUGUUAAGGGUAUUUAGACAACCUACGCCUAGCCGUUUCCUCCUGUGUACCUGACACUAGAAAUUUGGGGCAUGGACAGGGAUUUGGUACCCCAUUACUCCCAGACGUAAAUUAGUGCCGGGGGACUACGGACACAUGUUUAAAACCCAAAGAACUUGGCGGUGGUGCAGAUCAAUCUAGGGGAGCAUGACGGUUAAUUCGAUGAUCCACGAAAAUCUUACCUCCUUUUGUUUUCAGCUUGUAUACCGUCGUUGUCAGUUCCUCCUGUGAGGGAGAAAUAGGGGACUCAGCCUAUAGGUUUAAAAAUAAAUUUUAUUGUACUAGACGACUUCAGAUAAACGUGCAGCUUAUGGGGAGGGCUUAGUUGUGCUACAAUUCUUUUAGAAGUACGGAGCUCAUAUAUUUCUCUUGAAGUGGAGGGGUUAAGGUGGACUUAGCAGUAAAAUAGGAAUUGAACAUCAGUUAUUGCAUCGCGU
This 557-nucleotide ribosomal RNA is filed under the name Laternula anatina. RNAcentral describes it as "partial 12S ribosomal RNA". It matches the Rfam family "Bacterial small subunit ribosomal RNA", at positions 590 to 1384 of the family's 1533-position model. The record is from RNAcentral. Lineage: Eukaryota; Metazoa; Mollusca; Bivalvia; Laternulidae.